This 460-nucleotide small RNA is filed under the name Pongo abelii (Sumatran orangutan). RNAcentral describes it as "processed transcript". Lineage: Eukaryota; Metazoa; Chordata; Mammalia; Primates; Hominidae. The record is from RNAcentral.
AGCCCUUUUUGAGGAGCUGCAAAGGGUGCACAGGCCACUAGCUGGAGGUUCUUUGGUACCCCCUCCUUUUAGGUGGGGUCAGCAGACAUAGGGGCACCAUGUGGCCGAGUUACCAAGAUGAACACGAGUUCAACGCCCACCUGGUUUGUCGCAUGUGCUGUAUGGAUGAACGGGACCGGGUUCAGAAGAAAACGUUCACCAAGUGGGUCAACAAGCACUUAAUGAAGGUCCGCAAGCACAUCAAUGAUCUUUAUGAAGAUCUGCGGGAUGGCCAUAACCUGAUCUCUCUGUUGGAGGUCCUCUCAGGCAUCAAACUGCCCCGGGAGAAGGGCAGGAUGCGUUUUCAUAGGCUGCAGAAUGUGCAGAUUGCCCUGGACUUCCUAAAGCAGCGACAGGUAAGACCAUCACAUGCCUUCUCCAUUCUUCCAGGCUGUGUUGGCACUGGGGCCCUAUUCAGAGA